Molecule: small nuclear RNA, 164 nt
Organism: Saimiri boliviensis boliviensis (Bolivian squirrel monkey)
Lineage: Eukaryota; Metazoa; Chordata; Mammalia; Primates; Cebidae
Gene: U1
Rfam family: U1 spliceosomal RNA
About the family: U1 is a small nuclear RNA (snRNA) component of the spliceosome (involved in pre-mRNA splicing). Its 5' end forms complementary base pairs with the 5' splice junction, thus defining the 5' donor site of an intron. There are significant differences in sequence and secondary structure between metazoan and yeast U1 snRNAs, the latter being much longer (568 nucleotides as compared to 164 nucleotides in human).
Source: Ensembl
AAAAUUACCUGGCACGGGAGAUACUCUGAUCAUGAAGGUGGUUUUUCCAGGGUGAGAGUCAUCCAUUGCACUCUGGAUGUGCUGGCCCCUGUGAUUUCUCCAAAUGUGGGAAACUGGACUGCAAAAUUUGUGGUAGAGGGGGACUGUGUUUGUGCUUUCCCCUG